This 484-nucleotide ribosomal RNA is filed under the name uncultured bacterium. Its description in RNAcentral is "SSU rRNA". It matches the Rfam family "Bacterial small subunit ribosomal RNA", at positions 26 to 523 of the family's 1533-position model. The record is from RNAcentral.
AGAGCGAACGCUGGCGGCAUGCCUAACACAUGCAAGUCUGACGGGCCGGCCUUUCGGGGCUGGUCAGUGGCGGACGGGUGAGGAGCGCGUAGGAACGUAUCCAGGGGUGGGGGAUAACCGCGGGAAACUGCGGCUAAUACCGCACGGGGCCUGAGGGCCAAAGGCAGGGAGACCUGCCGCCUUUGGAGCGGCCUGCGUCCGAUUAGCUAGUUGGUGAGGUAAUGGCUCACCAAGGCAUUGACGGGUAGCCGGCCUGAAAGGGUGAUCGGCCACACUGGCACUGAGACACGGGCCAGACUCCUACGGGAGGCAGCAGUGGGGAAUUUUGGACAAUGGGGGCAACCCUGAUCCAGCGACGCCGCGUGAAGGAUGAAGGUCUUCGGAUUGUAAACUUCUUUUAGAGGGAUGAAUGCCUGCGUGAUAACGCAGGGUGACAGUACCCUUGAAUAAGCCACGGCUAACUACGUGCCAGCAGCCGCGGUAA